UACGAAGGGGGCUAGCGUUGCUCGGAAUCACUGGGCGUAAAGCGCACGUAGGCGGAUUCUUAAGUCAGGGGUGAAAUCCUGGAGCUCAACUCCAGAACUGCCUUUGAUACUGAGGGUCUUGAGUUCGGGAGAGGUGAGUGGAACUGCGAGUGUAGAGGUGAAAUUCGUAGAUAUUCGCAAGAUCACCAGUGGCGAAGGCGGCUCACUGGCCCGAUACUGACGCUGAGGUGCGAAAGCGUGGGGAGCAAACAGG
RNAcentral lists this ribosomal RNA (253 nucleotides) under uncultured bacterium. Its description in RNAcentral is "partial 16S ribosomal RNA". It matches the Rfam family "Bacterial small subunit ribosomal RNA", at positions 524 to 776 of the family's 1533-position model. The record is from RNAcentral.